RNAcentral lists this microRNA precursor (82 nucleotides) under Marmota monax (woodchuck). The record is from RNAcentral. Lineage: Eukaryota; Metazoa; Chordata; Mammalia; Rodentia; Sciuridae.
UGUGUGUGUGUGUAUAUGUGUGUGUGUAUGUGUAUAUAUAUACACAUACACACAUAUAUAUACACAUACACACACACACACA